This 72-nucleotide transfer RNA is filed under the name Ovis aries (sheep). It matches the Rfam family "tRNA". From Rfam's summary of the family: Transfer RNA (tRNA) molecules are approximately 80 nucleotides in length. Their secondary structure includes four short double-helical elements and three loops (D, anti-codon, and T loops). Lineage: Eukaryota; Metazoa; Chordata; Mammalia; Artiodactyla; Bovidae. The record is from Rfam by way of RNAcentral.
UCCCUGGUGGCUCAGAGGUUAAAGCGUCUGCCUGCAGGGCAGGAGCCCUGGGUUCGAUCCCUGGGUCGGGAA